CCUACGGGCGGCAGCAGUGGGGAAUAUUGCACAAUGGGCGCAAGCCUGAUGCAGCCAUGCCGCGUGUGUGAAGAAGGCCUUCGGGUUGUACAGCACUUUCAGCGGGGAGGAAGGCGGUGAGGUUAAUAACCUCAUCGAUUGACGUUACCCGCAGAAGAAGCACCGGCUAACUCCGUGCCAGCAGCCGCGGUAAUACGGAGGGUGCAAGCGUUAAUCGGAAUUACUGGGCGUAAAGCGCACGCAGGCGGUCUGUCAAGUCGGAUGUGAAAUCCCCGGGCUCAACCUGGGAACUGCAUUCGAAACUGGCAGGCUAGAGUCUUGUAGAGGGGGGUAGAAUUCCAGGUGUAGCGGUGAAAUGCGUAGAGAUCUGGAGGAAUACCGGUGGCGAAGGCGGCCCCCUGGACAAAGACUGACGCUCAGGUGCGAAAGGGUGGGGAGCAAACAGGAUUAAUACCCCGGUAGUC
This 464-nucleotide ribosomal RNA is filed under the name uncultured Klebsiella sp. Its description in RNAcentral is "bacterial SSU rRNA". It matches the Rfam family "Bacterial small subunit ribosomal RNA", at positions 338 to 795 of the family's 1533-position model. Lineage: Bacteria; Pseudomonadati; Pseudomonadota; Gammaproteobacteria; Enterobacterales; Enterobacteriaceae. The record is from RNAcentral.